ACGCUCGACACCUACGGGAGCCAGCAGUGGGGGAAUAUUGCACAAUGGGGGAAACCCUGAUGCAGCGACGCCGCGUGGAGGAAGAAGGUCUUCGGAUUGUAAACUCCUGUUGUUGGGGAAAAAGAGGAUGGUACCCAACAAGGAAGUGACGGCUAACUACGUGCAGCAGCCGCGGUAAUCUGAGGCGGGCUGGACAAGGC
RNAcentral lists this ribosomal RNA (200 nucleotides) under uncultured bacterium. RNAcentral's name for it is "partial 16S ribosomal RNA". It matches the Rfam family "Bacterial small subunit ribosomal RNA", at positions 328 to 539 of the family's 1533-position model. The record is from RNAcentral.